Molecule: long non-coding RNA, 591 nt
Filed under: Olea europaea subsp. europaea
Lineage: Eukaryota; Viridiplantae; Streptophyta; Magnoliopsida; Lamiales; Oleaceae
Source: RNAcentral
AUGCAAUCCACAUUAGCCAAAUAUUAAGCAAGAACUUAAGCACAGUGAUGACGUUCAAAAUCGUCCAAAUCUAAUUACUCGAAUUUAGAAUAAAAUUAGAAGAGCUCAAAAAUGACUAGUACAAGAAAAUAAUCUUAAGCCAUGUUGUUGCACAUAUAUAUGUUAUUGAAUUUCAAAAAAGAAGACUCCCUCAUGCACAUUUACCAUUGAUUUUCAGCUGCAUUAGUAAGAUUUCUUGUGCUCAAGAAGUUGAAAGGAUAGUGUCAUAUGAAAUACCUAGCAAUAAUAUAUAUUCUUAUCUUCAUUCUAUUAUUGUUAAACACAAUAUACAUGGCCCUUGUGGAUACCUAUAUCUUAAGAAUGUAUGUAUAGAUGGAAAUAAAGAUCAUAAAAAAUAUCAUAGGGAUUAUCAUUGCGAAGAAUGUUUAUAUGAAGCUAUUAUCUAUGAAAUAUCUAAUUAUUUAAGAAGUCUCUUUGCUACACUUCUUACGCUUUACAUCCCUAAUGAUCCAAAGUUCCUACGGGAUAAAUUCAAUGUUUACGGGAUCAAUGAUUAUGUGCAUGAAAAUAUACCGAGUUCAAGGCUUUACA